This is a long non-coding RNA of Prunus dulcis (almond), 284 nucleotides long. RefSeq lists it as uncharacterized. Lineage: Eukaryota; Viridiplantae; Streptophyta; Magnoliopsida; Rosales; Rosaceae. The record is from RefSeq and is a predicted model, not a curated record. The transcript is spliced from 3 exons.
AAAGAAUCUCUGUGUUGCUUUCCUAGCAUGCAGCCUUCACAUACUACUGAAAUUUGCUCCAAAUGAGGCAUCAUUGUAAGUGGAAAGCAUCUGUUAUUGGUCAUUUGAACCCUCACAAUCAGAUUUCUCAGUGACUGAUCAUCAUAAACAUUCACCAUAUUCUCUCCAAACACAAGAUAGUACCCAUGCUCCAUCAUUUGCCCAACACUAAGCAGAUUUUCUUCAAGACCAGCUUCAGAAUAUCCCAGGCACCCUUUGAGGUCUCCUCGUUCACAAUUCUGGGG